GGGGAUUUAGCUUAGCGGCAUAAGUGUCUGCCUUGCAAGCAUAUGGUCAUGAGUUCAAUCCCCA
This 64-nucleotide transfer RNA is filed under the name Cavia porcellus (domestic guinea pig). It matches the Rfam family "tRNA", at positions 1 to 62 of the family's 71-position model. Rfam says of the family: Transfer RNA (tRNA) molecules are approximately 80 nucleotides in length. Their secondary structure includes four short double-helical elements and three loops (D, anti-codon, and T loops). Lineage: Eukaryota; Metazoa; Chordata; Mammalia; Rodentia; Caviidae. The record is from Rfam by way of RNAcentral.